GAUGAACGCUGGCGGCGUGCCUAAUACAUGCAAGUCGAGCGAACAGAUGAGGAGCUUGCUCCUCUGACGUUAGCGGCGGACGGGUGAGUAACACGUGGAUAACCUACCUAUAAGACUGGGAGAACUUCGGGAAACCGGAGCUAAUACCGGAUAAUAUAUUGAACCGCAUGGUGCAAUAGUGAAAGACGGUUUUGCUGUCACUUAUAGAUGGAUCCGCGCCGCAUUAGCGAGUUGGUAAGGUAACGGCUUACCAAGGCAACGAUGCGUAGCCGACCUGAGAGGGUUGUUGGCCCCCCCGGAACUGAGACACGGUCCCGGCUCCCUACGGAGGCCGCCGGUGGGAAUCUUCCGCAAUGGGCCGCAACCUGACGCCGCCCAGCCGCGUGAGUUAUGGAGGUCUUCGGAUCGUAAAACUCUGUUAUUAGGGAAAAACAAGUGUGUAAGUAACUCUGCACGUCUUGACGGUACCUAAUCAGAUAGCCACGGCUAACUACGUG
This 497-nucleotide ribosomal RNA is filed under the name uncultured bacterium. Its description in RNAcentral is "partial 16S ribosomal RNA". It matches the Rfam family "Bacterial small subunit ribosomal RNA", at positions 28 to 507 of the family's 1533-position model. The record is from RNAcentral.